This 243-nucleotide long non-coding RNA is filed under the name Prunus persica (peach). RNAcentral describes it as "long non-coding RNA (PPER_LNC002871)". Lineage: Eukaryota; Viridiplantae; Streptophyta; Magnoliopsida; Rosales; Rosaceae. The record is from RNAcentral.
AAUGACAAGUCACAAAACAAAUAUUGAACUGGAUUAGGCAGUAGGCAACAGCACUCAUUAUUAUCGAAUACGGUAACAUUCAGCUCGCGUAGCUGUCACUGACACGUGUUUCUUCUGCCCGUGUGCACUGUGUACUCUGGACCAUCACAACUCAAUCAAUUUCCAUUGCUCUUUUAAGAAUAAAAUAAAAUAAAAAUAUUUUUUGCUCCAUUAAUUUUUUUUCCCUAAAUAUUUGGGUCCUAG